This 211-nucleotide ribosomal RNA is filed under the name bacterium enrichment culture DGGE gel band 11. Its description in RNAcentral is "partial 16S ribosomal RNA". It matches the Rfam family "Bacterial small subunit ribosomal RNA", at positions 980 to 1190 of the family's 1533-position model. The record is from RNAcentral.
ACUUGACAUCUCCUGCAUUACUCUUAAUCGAGGAAGUCCUUUCGGGGACAGGGAUGACAGGUGGUGCAUGGUUGUCGUCAGCUCGUGUCGUGAGAUGUUGGGUUAAGUCCCGCAACGAGCGCAACCCCUAUUGUUAGUUGCUACCAUUAAGUUGAGCACUCUAGCGAGACUGCCCGGGUUAACCGGGAGGAAGGUGGGGAUGACGUCAAAU